This 497-nucleotide ribosomal RNA is filed under the name uncultured bacterium. RNAcentral's name for it is "partial 16S ribosomal RNA". It matches the Rfam family "Bacterial small subunit ribosomal RNA", at positions 28 to 507 of the family's 1533-position model. The record is from RNAcentral.
GAUGAACGCUGGCGGCGUGCCUAAUACAUGCGAGUCGAGCGAACAGACGAGGAGCUUGCUCCUCUGACGAUAGCGGCGGACGGGUGAGUAACACGUGGAUAACCUACCUAUAAUACUGGGAUAACUUCGGGAAACCGGAGCUAAUACCGGAUAAUAUAUUGAACCGCAUGGUUCAAUAGUGAAAGACGGUUUUGCGGUCUCUUAUAGAUGGAUCCGCGCCGCAUUAGCUGGUAGGUAAGGUAACGGCUUAUCAAGGCGACGAUGCGUAGCCGACCUGUAGGGGUGAUCGGCCACACGGGAACUGAGCCACGGUCCAGACGCCUACGGGACGCAGCAGAAGCGAAUGUUCCGCAAUGGGCGAAAGCAUGACGGAGCAACGCCGCGUGAGUUAUGAAGGUCUUCGGAUCGUAAAACUCGGUUAUUAGGGAAGAACAAAUGUGUAAGUAACUAUGCACGUCUUGACGGUACCUAAUCAGAAAGCCACGGCUAACUACGUG